This 278-nucleotide long non-coding RNA is filed under the name Gallus gallus (chicken). Lineage: Eukaryota; Metazoa; Chordata; Aves; Galliformes; Phasianidae. The record is from RNAcentral.
AAAAACCUUCGGCUGCCGUUCCCACUUCGGCAAACACCGGCGAAGCCGUGCCGAACGACGGCCGUAUGGCUGCCGGCACUGUGGCAGAGCCAUCACCGGCGCCUCCGACCUCUACCGGAGCCAACGGGUCCACCUGGAGACCACCACAGCCACCAACGCGGCACCAAAACCCAACGUGGCGUCACCAAAACCCAACAUGACCACCAACAUGGCACCGAAACCCAACAUGACCACCAACACGGCACCAAAACCCAACACGGCAUCACCAAAACCCAACA